UGCGCUGGACUGGGUUUGGCUCCCCGCCCACCGGGUCCCAGCUGUGUGACCUUGACGCGUCCUUCUCUGCACUGGAAAUGACAACAAUCAUAAAAGAGCCCCAGUGGCACAGCCCGACCUCCUGCCUGGUUUCUGUGUUGUGUUUAUCGGUGCCGGGGUCAAACCCAGGCCCUGCACGGCAGCCGAGCCCUGCCACUGCGGGACAGAGACCCCUCCGGAGUCGGGUGUUGACGCUUAUGUUACAAAGGACUUGGAUGAGGGUGGUCACUGGCGCUGACAGCCCCCACCCGAACCGACCCAAAUCCCAGUCAGGAAGAGGAUCAACGAAUGGCGCACACACAUCCGCCCUCGAGAAUGGGACUUGUGAUACACUGCUCCCACCGAACACCACACAUGAGGACAGAGAAGCUGGGCAGAGAGAAAACAAAACUUGCUGCAUGGUUCCACUCAGCUGAGGUUCCACGCCCUCCCUGCUCACCCCAAAGACUGCCUGGCGCCCCACUGCAGCCCCAGAAGGCUGAAGCACAUGGGCCACACCCCCACACCUCAAACCCACUGUGUUUUUCCCUGGAGGCUGGGACCGGUGUUUUCUGAGACAGAGUCAAAGGACAGCACAAGAGGCCACAGAUGCGGGCGGGGCCCACAGGGUCCAUCGGAGCUCCCUGCCGUCACAGAGAGGACACAAGUGGGUUGUGCACCCAGCACCUCAAGGGCGCUGUCCACACUGUGGUACGGGGGUGAAGAAAUGAAUGAACAAAUGAUUGGCUCUCGGGCUGCCAAGGAAAACCCUCAGCACACAGGAAAAGGGUGCAUAGGAGGAGGAGCUGCAAGGGGAUCAAACUCGGGUCCUUGCGUUUGCAAGGCAGGCAGCGGAGCCAGGCGUCAGAUUGGAGCUAAAUCCUGGGCCCCAAGGUGAGGCUUUUGACCUUGCACAGGCCUAGUGCAGGUGCCCUGUCACCCUCUUAGCACUGGCUGUCCCUUCAGGUCUACUCCCCACAGCCCCAGGGCACAGGCUGCCUCUUUGUCCCAGGAGGAGGGUAGCAGGGACAUGGGAGUCCGAACUCUCUAAGGCACUGGCAAUCUUACACACAGGAAUCUUCAGCAGCACAGCAGCCCUGUGCUUGGGGCUCACUUUAAAUAGGAAAAGCCCCAGGCGGGAUGGUGCAUAGUAGGUGCUCACUAAACCACAGCUGCCAUUACUGCAGAGGGAAGCCUGGGAUCUGAGGGUGCAGCUGGAGAAGAGACCUCGGCCUCCCCAGUAGGAGGGAGACUGUGGACAUCAGAGGAAGGGAAGGGCAGAGGGAGGUGGCGUGGUGACAGCUGUGGCAUCUAUCAGCCACCUGCAGCCCAUGCCAUCCCUUUGCCCACAUUCUGCCUGUGUUGCCCCCUGCAUCAUGGUGACUAUGGCUGCUUGUGGUCAGCCACUGUCCCGGCCUCCUCCUGCUUCCUGCCUGAGAUGGUAGAAAGGGAGCAGGAAGCAGCUGCCCCGCCCAGAGUCUCCUCCUGCCGAGGGCCGGCGCUGCCCGGGUGGUGGCCAGUGCUCAGGGUGGGGAUCCAUCGAGCUUUUGCAGCACCUGUGUCCUGUCCACACAGCAGGGACAGGGGCCUGCUGAGGCCGUGGAGGAGGAGGGACAUCCCGCCCAGCAGUGUCUGCACACAGCGAGUGUCCGGUGCACACUUCUCACCAUCAGGGCGGAAGGCCGGGCUGUGUCCAGGGUCCCAGGCCCAGUCAUCACCUCCAACCAGCAGCGAUGUCCGGGUGUGGGGCCCCGGUGUGAUCGCAUGCAGUGUCUCUCCAGGCUACUGGCGGGGUGUACACUGGGCUGUCCAGCCAUCGGUCAGGACUGGGGACAUCAGAGUGCUGGGGGGCGGGGUCGAAGGAGCCACUGAAGUGCCCUGCCGAGGGGAGAGACUCUGCCUCCUUGCUUGGGGAUGGGGGUGCUCGGGAUGGUCCCUGGUUGCCAAGGUUACUGCUGGCCGGGCAGAGGGCCCUGGCCCAGGGCACCCAGCAGGUGGCCCAGCAGGGACAUGGAAAGGGAAAGCACCCACUCCGUCUGGCUCAGACCCAAACACAGAAACCAAGCGAGGGCACUGGUGAGUGCUGGGGGUGUCUGGAGCCCUGACCAGAACCCCCAGGAGACGGGAGUCUGGCAGGGGGACCUUAGACGCCAUGUUUCGAGUCGGGGCCACCCACAGUGAGCUGGCCCGGCCCAGCACCAUGCCAAGCCUGGCACCCAGCCCAGCACCAUGCCAAGCCUGGCCCCUGGCCCAUCCUGCCUCAGCUUCCCAGGUGGCCCCAAAGCCUGUCUCUUCCCGGAAGGCCUGGACAGUUUGAGGGUGGCCCCUCUGCAGCCACCUGUCCUGAGUCCUCACUCGGCCCAGACAGCUGGGAGCCUGGAGCUCGGGAGCUGGCCAAGGGCGAUGGCCGGUGGCUGCCUGGAUGCUGGGUGUGCUGUGCAGGGGCCUGCGGAGGGGCCUGGCCCGGCCGGGACCAGGAGGGGAAUGUGGCUCAUCCCAAGCACAGCUGCUUCUGUGGUUCUCUCCAGCAGCUGCUGCUUGCUCCUUAUCUUGGGUCUCAAUCCAGGCUCCACCCCUUUGCUGUUGCUGAGCUGGGGAGGCAGACAGGGCCUGCUUCCUGCUCACAGGGCCUUAGUCUCUCCCACUGCAGCUCAGAGGGACUUGGAAAAGACUCAGCCGGGUGUGGUGGCACAUGCCUGUUACCCCAGCACUCAGGAGGCUGAGGCAGGAGGAUCGCUGGGAGAUCAAGGCCAGCCUGGGCUAGGUAGUGAGACCCUGUCUCAAACAAACAAACAAAAGGUCUGCUACUUGAGACCAACUCUGUACCCCUCUGUGGGUGACUGGGCUUUGAAAGUGAGUCACUGCCCCGGGUGUGACUCCCCUGCCCACUGCAGUGACACCCUAGCUGUGGACCCCAGAGUGGCAUGCAUAGGGCUGCGGUGACCAUGCAGGACCCUGGGCCUCUGGCCUGGGCCCUCCUGGACCUCGCCUGGCCAGCUUUGGACCUGGCACCUGCUGUCCCCACCACGAUGCCACCAAAAUGGCAGGGCUUCUGUUUUCCAUAUUAUUACAGAACUGGAACACUUCUAAGAAGGGGGGAACCUCCCUUACCUCUACUACCCGCUAAAAUAACCAUUGCUAACAAUUUGGGAGAUUUCCUUGCCGUCUCCAGUAUGCAUGUGAGGCGUGUGAAGCAGACUGCUGUCAACAGGUUGGAGGUGCAAUUUCGCCUCCUGCUCUUUCCCUUAACAUCACCAUAGCAGUUAUUCCACGUCACCACAUAUUUUUGCAGCUGAGAUUUUUAAAGAGAUGGGGGUCUGGCUAUAUGGCCCAGCCAGCCUCAGACUCCUAGGCUUAAGCAAUCCUCCUGCUUCAGCCUCCUGAACAGCUGGGAAUACGGGCAGGGGUGUGCUACCAUGCCCAGCCCAACCUUUUUUUUUCAGUACUGCCAGUUGA
Long non-coding RNA from Heterocephalus glaber (naked mole-rat), 3474 nucleotides. RefSeq lists it as uncharacterized. NCBI's taxonomy places the organism in Eukaryota, Metazoa, Chordata, Mammalia, Rodentia, Bathyergidae. The record is from RefSeq and is a predicted model, not a curated record.